CACGCCGUAAACGAUGAUUACUAGGUAUAGGGGGACUGACCCCCUCUGUGCCGCAGCAAACGCAUUAAGUAAUCCACCUGGGGAGUACGGCCGCAAGGUUAAAACUCAAAGGAAUUGACGGGGGCCCGCACAAGCAGUGGAGUAUGUGGUUUAAUUCGAAGCAACGCGAAGAACCUUACCAAGCCUUGACAUCUCCUGCAUAGCCAAGAGAUUGGUGAAGCCCUUCGGGGCAGGAAGACAGGUGG
RNAcentral lists this ribosomal RNA (245 nucleotides) under uncultured Eubacteriales bacterium. RNAcentral describes it as "uncultured Clostridiales bacterium partial 16S ribosomal RNA". It matches the Rfam family "Bacterial small subunit ribosomal RNA", at positions 796 to 1041 of the family's 1533-position model. Lineage: Bacteria; Bacillati; Bacillota; Clostridia; Eubacteriales. The record is from RNAcentral.